GGGCCAUUAGCUCAGUGGUUAGAGCCCCCGGCUCAUAACCGGUUGGUCCUUGGUUCGAACCCAAGAUGGCCCACCA
RNAcentral lists this transfer RNA (76 nucleotides) under Candidatus Crickella equi. RNAcentral's name for it is "tRNA-Ile". It matches the Rfam family "tRNA". From Rfam's summary of the family: Transfer RNA (tRNA) molecules are approximately 80 nucleotides in length. Their secondary structure includes four short double-helical elements and three loops (D, anti-codon, and T loops). Further hydrogen bonds mediate the characteristic L-shaped molecular structure. tRNAs have two regions of fundamental functional importance: the anti-codon, which is responsible for specific mRNA codon recognition, and the 3' end, to which the tRNAs corresponding amino acid is attached (by aminoacyl-tRNA synthetases). tRNAs cope with the degeneracy of the genetic code in two manners: having more than one tRNA (with a specific anti-codon) for a particular amino acid; and 'wobble' base-pairing, i.e. permitting non-standard base-pairing at the 3rd anti-codon position. Lineage: Bacteria; Bacillati; Bacillota; Clostridia; Peptostreptococcales; Anaerovoracaceae. The record is from RNAcentral.